Non-coding RNA from Pelobates cultripes (western spadefoot toad), 722 nucleotides. The record is from the annotation of a GenBank genome assembly. Lineage: Eukaryota; Metazoa; Chordata; Amphibia; Anura; Pelobatidae.
AAAAUCCAAUCUUCACCACUCUUGUCUAAUAAAUGCAAAUAAUUAAAAUCCAAAGUAAACAAAAAAAUCUGUAUAAAAUUAGUCUCCAAACUCCUAUGCAUUUCAUCCUGUAGGACUUCUUCAGGGAUCUGUAUUUUUCACCUAAUGUGAAAACCUGCCCAGUGAGCUCUCCUAUGACAGGAAGACUCCAAGCACCAUAACCACUACAGUGGGCCGUAGUGCUUAUUGUGCAAAAAUUGUAAGAAGUCAAACAGUUUUUCUGACAUUUUGACUUCUCACCUGGUGUCCACUGGACAUUGCUUCCUGCAUUUCUUCAAUCAGAAGUGAGAGCUGAAAGCUCCUGCUUGGAGCUUCAUUGGCUGAAAGUGUCAGGUGAUAGCUGUCGGCCAAUAAAAUAAGCUCUGCCCAAACUGUAAAUCGGCACCACUACUGUCAAACCACUGAUAACUAUAGCCAGCAUUAGCUGUAAGGGCAUUAUGGGAGAUGUAGUCCAAAACAUCUGCAGUGAGGAAGGUUGCCAAUUAAUGUAAAAGAUAAUUAUUAUUAUUUUAUUAUUUAUAUAGUGCCUGCAAAUUCCAUAGCACUGUACAAUGGGUGGACUAACAGACACGUAACUGUAGCCAGACAAAUGGAUGCACAGGAACAUAGGGGUUGAAGGACCUGCUCAAUGAGCUCACAUGCUAGAGGGAGUGGAGUAUAGUGACACAAAAGGUAUAAGUAAG